CCUAACACAUGCAAGUCGAACGGUAACAGGAAGCAGCUUGCUGCUUCGCUGACGAGUGGCGGACGGGUGAGUAAUGUCUGGGAAGCUGCCUGAUGGAGGGGGAUAACUACUGGAAACGGUAGCUAAUACCGCAUAAUGUCGCAAGACCAAAGAGGGGGACCUUCGGGCCUCUUGCCAUCAGAUGUGCCCAGAUGGGAUUAGCUAGUAGGUGGGGUAACGGCUCACCUAGGCGACGAUCCCUAGCUGGUCUGAGAGGAUGACCAGCCACACUGGAACUGAGACACGGUCCAGACUCCUACGGGAGGCAGCAGUGGGGAAUAUUGCACAAUGGGCGCAAGCCUGAUACAGCCAUGCCGCGUGUAUGAAGAAGGCCUUCGGGUUGUA
RNAcentral lists this ribosomal RNA (384 nucleotides) under uncultured bacterium. RNAcentral describes it as "bacterial SSU rRNA". It matches the Rfam family "Bacterial small subunit ribosomal RNA", at positions 47 to 427 of the family's 1533-position model. The record is from RNAcentral.